CGUAGGGCGCAAGCGUUGUCCGGAAUUAUUGGGCGUAAAGAGCUCGUAGGCGGCUUGUCACGUCGGAUGUGAAAGCCCGAGGCUUAACCUCGGGUCUGCAUUCGAUACGGGCUAGCUAGAGUGUGGUAGGGGAGAUCAGAAUUCCUGGUGUAGCGGUGAAAUGCGCAGAUAUCAGGAGGAACACCGGUGGCGAAGGCGGAUCUCUGGGCCAUUACUGACGCUGAGGAGCGAAAGCGUGGGGAGCGAACAGGAUUAGAUACCCUGGUAGUCCACGCCGUAAACGUUGGGAACUAGGUGUUGGCGACAUUCCACGUCGUCGGUGCCGCAGCUAACGUAUUAAGUUCCCCGCCUGGGGAGUACGGCCGCAAGGCUA
Molecule: ribosomal RNA, 373 nt
Filed under: uncultured organism
Description: bacterial SSU rRNA
Rfam family: Bacterial small subunit ribosomal RNA
Source: RNAcentral